RNAcentral lists this long non-coding RNA (470 nucleotides) under Setaria viridis. Its description in RNAcentral is "long non-coding RNA (SVIR_LNC001434)". The record is from RNAcentral. Lineage: Eukaryota; Viridiplantae; Streptophyta; Magnoliopsida; Poales; Poaceae.
GGUAAUAUAGAUGCAAAUUUAAGGGGUUACUUUAAGCUUUUUAAGUAAUAGUGGUAGGCAAUUCAGUUGCAAAUUAGGGGGUUAUUUUAAAUAUUGUUUAUAAUGGCAUAAGUGGGUAAUUUUGAUGAAGAUUAGGGGGUUACUUUAGUUUAUUUUAUAUAAUGGCAGAGGUGGGUAAUUUAUAUAUAAAUUCAGGAGGUUACUUUAGGCUAUUUUCAUAAUGGCAUAGGUGGGUAAUUUUUUAGAAAACAUAAUAGAUCCAAUGGUUUUUUUGUGAAUCUAUGGAUUGAUCGGAUGUUUUGUUUUUUUUGAUAAUUUGUAGAAUUUCUCUUUUUCUAAAGUGCCCACCUAGGAAUCCUAGGUGGCUUCACCUGGAGGCUACAAAAGAAGCCUCCAAUUAGUAAUAGUAAGAUGGCAUGCUGCCCACCUUCGUGCACACACUAUGCUCCUUCAUCAUUGUUGCCAUGUCC